Molecule: long non-coding RNA, 2694 nt
Organism: Megalopta genalis
Lineage: Eukaryota; Metazoa; Arthropoda; Insecta; Hymenoptera; Halictidae
Source: RefSeq, a predicted model, not a curated record
GCGAUACAGUUUUUCAAUAUCUUCGUCGGCUUUGAGUGGUUUUUAAUCAUUCCGUGACGGGGAAACCUUAAUUUCACGUGCAAAGGCUACGCGAUUCCGUGUCGUUUGUAAUAAAAACAAAAUGUUGCUUUACAACUUAAUCUCAAAGCACUCCAAACGAUCCUAUAACCUUCACAGAUAGUAAAUCGAACGAUAUCUGUAUCUGUGUUUAAUAUUACAAUCCUCUGUGUCCGUAAACAGAGAUAGUAAAACGUAAUAAAACAAAAAGAAGUGUGGAAUAACGUUAAAUCUUAUCAAUCCCUUUUUCACAGCUGCGACGAGUAAUGGCCGACGAACGGAAGCGACGAACACUGAUCCAUCCUGACCUGACAUUCAUUGGAUGAUAAAUCGGCGCUUUAAAAAUCGUAUAUUAACGUUUGCACGAUCGAACAAAUAAUGACAAGCUGCAGUCAAUAUGAAAUAAGAAACUAUUCCAUAUUUUUCAACGACGUUUCUUAGUUCCUUUCACAACGUAAAACACGGUCAGAUCGCCAAAGUUUUUCUGUCUAUACAAUAAAGGCAACCUAUUGACCAUUGAUGGUAAUAAUGUAAAACAUUUUGGUUCAGAAAUAGGCACAAUGUGAGACGGUAUAAUACUCGCUGAUAAUUCGCAUGAUCUCCAUUUGAAAUACGGUUCACUUACUCGAACAUCUAGAGCAGGAGCUCCUACAAUACAGGAUUUCUCAUUUUAGCUAGUCGAUAAGAAGGCAUUGGCGAUCGAUCAACGACAAGGAAAAACAUUUCGUUUGCACGGAUCUGAUACAUCCCUGGGUCCUACAGGGUUUAAUAUCGUGAAGGGUAGCCGAGAGGAAGGAAGAUAGGGGCGACCCUAAAGCGAGGGAGUGCUGUUGCUAAAGCCGCGAGCAUGAAGGGAUCUUCGAAUAAAAAAAGGUAGGACCUACUGAGCGAGCGUACCAACGAGAAAGAAUGAGAAACUGCGAGUGAGAUACGAGAGAGAGAGAGAGAGAGAGAGAGAGAGAGAGAGAGAGAGAGGGCGAGAGAAUCCGGUCCCCCUCCUUUCGAGACCAGGGAAAGGCCGUACCCACGCAGUUCUUGAAGAUCAUACUGGGUCCCCGCUGGCACAGCCCUGAGCGAGUAAGUAAACACGCCAAAGUUCUGGUACUUCGACGUGGAACGAAGCAUUUUCCACAAGGCUGGAUACCCUCGUGAAGCACAAACGGUCACUCGCCCUGUACCGGGUGUUAUGAAAGUAUCGGGAGGUGAUGCUAUAUUAGGGUGCGGACCAACACCAGCAAUGCUCCAUGGUUCUCAGUUUACACGGUUUUCCCUUCGAACGCCGUCGAGGACAAUUCAGUUAACAUCGUCGGGUACUAACCAUCCCACAAAUGGAAGCACAAAAACCAUCUUCACGCUGUUUCGAGGGACAAAGAAUGCUUAUGGGAUCGGGACCCUCGACAGGAACCGAAAAAAUGAGGAUUCGUCACGACGCCCGGUUCCUCGAUGAUACCAAAUUACACGAUCGUGGCGCAUGGACACACAUGGACGAGAAGAACCUUCGAAACACGACGCAGGGGAGGUACCAUGAUGGUUCUGCUGUUCACGACGGAGUUCCGUUCGGGUUUAUAAAGGGACGGACGAAGAUCGCGCGGAUCCUCGAGCAUUGUUAACUCCGAUCACACCGCGUAUCGGCGAAGUUGCGUCGCAUUUUAUCGGGCGGAAGGGGGGUGGCAUGUUUAAGGCGAAUUCGUGUCGGCGGUGUGACGUCCGUGUUGUGACAAUACGCGAACGUAAGAUAAUCAGAAUGCACACGCUCGGACAGUGUAGUUGGCUGGUUUGGUUAAGCCAAAGUUGACGCGUGGCAACGCUGCGGCGCGCAGCUGUCACACGCGUCAUGCAUCGAGUCAAAGCUCAACUUAUUCUACAUAAGUGUUUUAUAAGAGACGAGGGUUUCUGUCUCCUUCCUCGUGUGGACUUGCUCGAUCAUUCGCGAACUCCGUUUCCACUGGCUACACCUAUCAGUAGAUGCUAACUCUUUUCCUGAACGCGGUUGUUGUUGGUAGCUGGUAUAGGCUGUUUCAUUUAUUUAGGUCGGGUAUUAGUGUUAUAUGCAAGUGGACAACAGACAAAGUUUGUUUAAUUACAGUAGUUAUAAAUGUAUUUCGCAUUCGUUGAUUGACAUGGGAUGGAAGAGAUGUUCAUGAAAUAGGUGUAUAACAAAUUUGGAUUGGAUUGGAAACGUUCAGCAUGUAUCAACUAUUUAUUUCUCUCUCUUCAUGAUUAGUUAACAAGACAGAUGCAUCGUAUCAAAUGUAAUGCUAGGAAUCUACGGUGGUCUACAGCGGUUCUCAGACAAAAUGGCGGCGAACUUGUUAAUAUGCUAGUCAGAUAAUUUAAAUUCGAAGUAACUUUCCUAUUCCCGUGGACGGAACGGUGUAAAGAAAAGUAGGAGUAUCUACUGAGAUAGCGCAAGGUUUUUAUUUUCUUAUAAACACUAUAUUAAAUGAAAGAGUGUAUUACUGGUUGAUACGUUUUUUUAUGAGACAAUUCCAUUGAAACGUAUACGAAAAAUACAGUAGAUAAUAUACUCAACGGUGCUACACAGUAUCAAAAUGAGUGCAACGACCUCCCGAAAGAGUAGUCAUUCCUGAAACAUUUUGUAAAACUGAUUCUAAAAUAAAAUCUAGUAAACUCGAG